CAUUAAUAAUAAAUUUAAUAAUUUUUAAAUGGUUUAAACGGCCGCUGUAUUCUGACGGUGAUAAUGUAGGAAAAUAAAUAGUUGUUUAAUUGGCGAACGUAGGUGAAUGGUUCUACGAGAGUUUCACUGUCUUAAAUGUAAGAAGAAAAAUUUAAAUAAUAGUGAAGAUGCUAUUUUAAACUGUAAGACGAAAAGACCCUAUAAAGCUUAACUAUUAUUCUAUUAAAAAGUAUUUUAUAGAUUAUAUAUAUAUAUAUAUUGAUACAAGUAGGAAAGAUAGUUUUGUUGGGGCAACAGCAUUCUAAAAAAAAAGAAUGUAAAUUUAAAUUAACUAAAUAAUUUAUUUUAUUGUUUAAUGUAUAAAUUUAACAAUCACAAAGUGGAUUAUAAUGACCUAUCCUUAAAAAAAAAUUUUUAAGGAUAAUAAAUAAAUAAAAGCUACUUUAGGGAUAACAGGUUAAUUUAAUCUUAAAGAAGGCAUUGAAGAUUAAGUUUGACACCUCGAUGUUGAAUUAAGGUUACCUAGUAAGGCAGUUUUUA
RNAcentral lists this ribosomal RNA (540 nucleotides) under Antennella ansini. RNAcentral describes it as "partial 16S ribosomal RNA". It matches the Rfam family "Bacterial large subunit ribosomal RNA", at positions 1886 to 2564 of the family's 2925-position model. Lineage: Eukaryota; Metazoa; Cnidaria; Hydrozoa; Leptothecata; Halopterididae. The record is from RNAcentral.